Molecule: long non-coding RNA, 746 nt
Organism: Erinaceus europaeus (western European hedgehog)
Lineage: Eukaryota; Metazoa; Chordata; Mammalia; Eulipotyphla; Erinaceidae
Exons: 2
Source: RefSeq, a predicted model, not a curated record
AGAGAGAGAUACCUGCAGUCCUGCUUUACCACUCGCAAAGCUUUCCCCUUGCAGGUGGGGACUGGGAGCUUGAACCCAGGUCCUUGUGCACUAUAACAUGUACGCUCAACCAGGGCAACAAAAGGGGAAAUAAAUUAAAAAAUACGUGUUGCAGAAUAUUCUCUAGGAUUAAUACAGUGUUGACUAGUUGCAAUUUGUGAAAGCCAUCUUCUCAUGUUUCUAAAUUCAGUAUGGUGUCUGUAGCUGAGAUGAUUAGUUACGUUACUCAGUGGUACGUUACUGGUUUGUUGGUAUGUAAUGAGAAAAUUGAGUUGUUGCAAGAUCUCAUACAUCUUUUUCCUUCUCCAGUGUUUGUGAAAUCAAGUCAUUUAUAAAGAGAAAACAGGCUGGGGGUAGAUAGCAUAAUGGUUAUGCAAAGAGACUCUUCUGCCUGAGGCUCCGAAGUCCCAGGUUCAGUCCCCUGCACUACCAUAAACCAGAGCUGAGUAGUGCUGUGGUAAAUAAAUAAAGAGAAAACAAAAAGUACUUGGGUUUGAUAAUAUCUCAGUGACUUUUUCCCUUGUUCUUAGUUUGAUUCCUCUGCAGAUCUUCCCCCCCUUUCCCUAUUACCCGGUUUAGGGCAGCCUAGCCUUCCUGCAGAUCCAACUGAGACAGUCUGGGCUUGUAAUCCUUUUUAGUUUCCAUCAUUACUGCUCUCUGUGUAGCAUCAGCUGUUUACGCUGCACUCCCAUCUCAUUAAAACUUAU